RNAcentral lists this ribosomal RNA (439 nucleotides) under Pseudomonas aeruginosa. RNAcentral's name for it is "bacterial SSU rRNA". It matches the Rfam family "Bacterial small subunit ribosomal RNA", at positions 93 to 526 of the family's 1533-position model. Lineage: Bacteria; Pseudomonadati; Pseudomonadota; Gammaproteobacteria; Pseudomonadales; Pseudomonadaceae. The record is from RNAcentral.
AUUUGGCGGACGGGUGAGUAAUGCCUAGGAAUCUGCCUGGUAGUGGGGGAUAACGUCCGGAAACGGGCGCUAAUACCGCAUACGUCCUGAGGGAGAAAGUGGGGGAUCUUCGGACCUCACGCUAUCAGAUGAGCCUAGGUCGGAUUAGCUAGUUGGUGGGGUAAAGGCCUACCAAGGCGACGAUCCGUAACUGGUCUGAGAGGAUGAUCAGUCACACUGGAACUGAGACACGGUCCAGACUCCUACGGGAGGCAGCAGUGGGGAAUAUUGGACAAUGGGCGAAAGCCUGAUCCAGCCAUGCCGCGUGUGUGAAGAAGGUCUUCGGAUUGUAAAGCACUUUAAGUUGGGAGGAAGGGCAGUAAGUUAAUACCUUGCUGUUUUGACGUUACCAACAGAAUAAGCACCGGCUAACUUCGUGCCAGCAGCCGCGGUAAUAAUC